GUUUCAGGGCGGGGUGAAAUUCCCCACUGGCGGUGACGGCAAAGCCGAAGUCCGCGACCCGCGCAAGCGGCUGACCCGGUGGGAUUCCGGGACCAACGGUAUAGUCCGGAUGGGAGAAA
RNAcentral lists this non-coding RNA (119 nucleotides) under uncultured Olegusella sp. Its description in RNAcentral is "FMN riboswitch (RFN element)". It matches the Rfam family "FMN riboswitch aptamer (RFN element)". Rfam says of the family: The RFN element is a highly conserved domain that is found frequently in the 5'-untranslated regions of prokaryotic mRNAs that encode for flavin mononucleotide (FMN) biosynthesis and transport proteins. This element is a metabolite-dependent riboswitch that directly binds FMN in the absence of proteins. In Bacillus subtilis, the riboswitch most likely controls gene expression by causing premature transcription termination within the 5' untranslated region of the ribDEAHT operon and precluding access to the ribosome-binding site of ypaA mRNA. The record is from RNAcentral. Lineage: Bacteria; Bacillati; Actinomycetota; Coriobacteriia; Coriobacteriales; Coriobacteriaceae.